GAGGGGGAGGAGAGAAGAGGUGGGCAGAAAGCUUAUUUCUCCCUGCGUAGUCUCUUUUUCCCUCUAAAUUGUUUUGUUUUGUUUUUUUCUCAUCAUUUGUUUUGGGCUCUAGUUUCCAUGUCGUCGAGGUUCCUCAGAUGUCUGGAGAUGCUUGGUGAUUUGCUCCUGGUUAAGGCAGGAGGAAAGAGUCCAUUGGAGCCUCCGAGACUGGGGAGGGGCUUAUCGGCUUUGGGGUCUCAGUAGAGUGACCAGGCUGGGCUGGUCUUCAAGGUGCUGUGAGUGCUAACCUUCUGGGGUUUUUCUUCUCGGGUGGGCCAGAGUUCCUGGAGAAGACUCUUCUGUUUCCCUCCUGAAGAGUGUGGGCUUAACCAAGAGAGGCUGAGAGGUCAUCCUAAGCUUCAUUAUGUAAAUGUCGCCUUAAUUUUUUGUCCCCAAAUGUCCUGUCCUCUAGAGACCCUCUCUCAAGUUUAGCUCCAGGCUCCUACCAGGACUGGGAAGAGACCCUGGCAACUGGACCCUUUCUAAAAUGUUCAACCAGCCCUCCUGUUCCAGACCUCUCUUCACUCACUGCCAUGAUGACUGGGGCCCCCCAUCUCCAUACUUCGGGGGCCCCUGCAUGUGACUCAGGUUGCUCCUUGGCUUUCUGAGCCUUCUCAGGUCAGUGGAAGCAGUUGCUACUCCUCCUUGAUGCCUAACUCAAGGCUAUUGUCUUCUCUCUUCUUGUUGUCCUUAGAGCCUUUUAAAAAUCUCUUUACUGUCGUAUCAGCGGGCUUCCGGAAGGAAAGAGGAAAAAUGUGCUGGGAAUCUGCAUGUGCUUCUCCAACACCACCAGAACCCAGGAGCUCUUCAUUCUUUCCUGGGGACAACUGCUCUGGACACAGCACCGGGGACAGAAAAAGGACACUCGAGGGAGUCCCGACUCGUUGCUCACUGCUGCCCUCGCAGAAGAUGGCUGUGGGGACGGACAAUCCAAAACAAGGUCGUAUUCGUUUCCUAGGGUUGUGGUAACAAACCCCACAAACUAGAUGACUUACAACACUGGAAAUUUCUUGUCUCCCACUUCUGGAGGCCACAAGUCCCCAGUCAAGGCGCCAUCAGGGCCGCAGUCCCUCCAAAGACGAAGGAAGUCCUUGCUCACUUCUUCCCGGCUUCUGAGGGUUUGCUGGUGACCUUCCUCAUCCCAGUUUGCAGUCCCCUUAUUCCAGGCUCCGCCUUCUUCAUCCCACAACCUCCCUGGGUGUCUCUGUCUUUCUGACUGUCAUCUUAUAAGGACACUAGUCCUAUGAGAUUAGGAGCAUACCCACUCCAACAUGAGCCUGUCUUCACUGGUCACAGCUGCAGUGACCAUAUUCGCAAAUAAGGUCCCAUUCUCAGGAGCUGGUGGUUCAGCUUCUUCAACACAGUUCUUUGGGAGAGCAGGGGGAGAUACUGCUCAAGCUAGAAGAUGUGUCUAACUCAAUUAUCAUUCCUUCUAGGCAAUGGUCCACAAGAGUCGGACUUGGAGGACGCAGUAGCUUGUGUUUAUAAAGAGCUAAUUGUUCACCUAAGAAAAGUCAUGGAGUCCUGAGCUCUAAUCCCGGUUUAAAUUGAAGAAGUUCUCCAUUUCACUUAACCCAUGAGGAAGGAAAAAAUGUCCAGGCUGGAGAUGGCAGGGGAGCACAGGCAGGAGAGCUACACGUGUUCCAAACACACUUCAGUUUUGUCCAACGAGCCUCACGAAGCCCAGAAUCCUUGGUCCACGCGGGAUGAAACAAGAACUCUCAGGGCAGGGGGCCUUUGUGGCAGACACACCUUAGCAACCAACCUGUGUCCUUGGGCAAGACACUUGGCCCCUCCGAGUCUGUUUCCUCACCUGCAGAACACUCACCAGCCCCAGCAGGGUAUGUGUGAGGAUUAAAUGGGACAGUAUCGUGAAAGCCCCCAGCCCGGGCUCCGGCACGCAACACAUGCUUCUGCGAUGUCAGCUGCUUGGAAAUAAAGGAGCUCAGGGCCCCUUAA
Mustela erminea (ermine) is the source of this 1998-nucleotide long non-coding RNA. RefSeq lists it as uncharacterized. The record is from RefSeq and is a predicted model, not a curated record. NCBI's taxonomy places the organism in Eukaryota, Metazoa, Chordata, Mammalia, Carnivora, Mustelidae. The transcript is spliced from 2 exons.